RNAcentral lists this unclassified non-coding RNA (328 nucleotides) under soil metagenome. RNAcentral describes it as "partial contains 5.8S ribosomal RNA, internal transcribed spacer 2, and large subunit ribosomal RNA". The stretch from base 2 to 119 matches the Rfam family "5.8S ribosomal RNA", at positions 37 to 154 of the family's 154-position model. The record is from RNAcentral.
GUGAAGAACGCAGCGAAAUGCGAUAAGUAAUGUGAAUUGCAGAAUUCAGUGAAUCAUCGAAUCUUUGAACGCACAUUGCGCCCCCUGGUAUUCCGGGGGGCAUGCCUGUCCGAGCGUCAUUACAACCCUCAAGCUCAGCUUGGUGUUGGGCCCCGCCGCCCCGGCGGGCCCUAAAGUCAGUGGCGGUGCCGUCCGGCUCCGAGCGUAGUAAUUCUUCUCGCUCUGGAGGUCCGGUCGUGUGCUCGCCAGCAACCCCCAAUUUUUUUCAGGUUGACCUCGGAUCAGGUAGGGAUACCCGCUGAACUUAAGAAUAUCAAUAAGCGGAGGA